Molecule: long non-coding RNA, 3228 nt
Organism: Ictalurus punctatus (channel catfish)
Lineage: Eukaryota; Metazoa; Chordata; Actinopteri; Siluriformes; Ictaluridae
Exons: 2
Source: RefSeq, a predicted model, not a curated record
UUACGAGUCGAGCGAGGAAGUAUGCACACGGAGAAACAGCUCUACCCGGGCUGAGGAGUAUGGCCAACGGCUUAAAGAAAUUACAGGAAGCACUCAGAGCCCCACACGGAAAUGCGACGGCGACAUCAUGUGGUGAGACACAGAACAGUCCAACAGAGGACAUGGAUGUGUAUCAGGACAUGGACGAUAGCUUAUCAAACACCAAUUUGAAAAUUAAGCAUCACAGAUAAGAUAAGUGCAUGUCAAAUGGCCCAGUCAUCAUCAGUAUUUCAAGUGCUCAGCACAAGAAUGUAGCUGAAAUGAGUAAUCAGUACUCAAAUGGGUUUACAUGUCAUAUUACAGGUCCUUCAUCCCUACAGCAGUCAGACUCUUUAAUACAAAAAACAACAUAAUGUAGCACGGCUAGCUGUUUUGCAUCAUCAACCUACACAAUAAUCCAUUUAUCAGUUUUCUGUAUAUAAAUGAGGUGUUACUCAUUCUCAUCUAUAUUUAUAUUUAUAUUCAUCUGUACAUACAUUGAGGUGUUCAUAGUGUACAUAUUACCAUUAUUAUUAUUUUUUACUACUUUUUUCUCAUUUUUCUAUUCCUAUUGUAUAUGUUUUUUAGACAUUUUUUUCAAUUCAAAUCCUAUUUAAUGUGUAUUCUUUCCUACCUGUUUUUUGUGUAAUUGAGCUGUUGUAACGAGGGAAUUUCCCCAGUGUGGGAUCAAUAAAGUUUAUCUUAUCUUAUCUUAUCUUAAGUAAACACAACUUACAUGACUCAAGUUUUAGUUACACAAAUCUUCUUGGUGUGUUUCACUUAACUGAAAUGGAGUUAUUUAACAAAUAGUAAAUGGUAUAAGGCAGAGGGAUUAAAAAGAUCCAGUUUCAUAAAAUUCUUUAUAACGGUCCAGAUAAGUGACUAAUGACUGAAUGGUGACAACAGUUACGUUUAAUGCUUAACCUUUAAUGAUUAGUUCAUGGUUCAUAUAAGACACAUCAAAUACACUAUAUGGCCAAAAAUUACGUGGUCACCUGACUACCACACCUACCAAACCCUUUUAUGUUGGCACAGAGAAGCUGCCAGCUGUAGACAAUCUUGACCACUAGCAGGAAAUUAAGAGGCCUUGGUCUUGGGAAAUUAAAGGACAUUUUGGAACUUUCAGCACCAUUGAAUUAAUAAUCUAAGUGUUUGUAUGUAUAUUUUUGACCCUGUAUGUAUAAUUUUGACCUUGUGUUGACUACAGAAAACCCCAGAUAAAUGAAAACUUGUGAUCCAAAUUCUUGUUUUUAUUAAAGAUGUAUGUUGUACAAUCAUUCUGACCCAGAAAAAGAACAGUUCAAAGGAAUUAUUGAAAGCCAAAUAUUGCCAUGACAUUCAUGUCCAUGAUGAGUGUAUGUAAACUUCAGACCGCAAAUGUAUAUACAGUAUGCUUGUUAAACAUCUCUUUCCAAAACCAUGGGCAUUAAUAUGGAGUUGGUCCUCCACUCUUCAGGGAAGGCUUUCCACUAGAUUUUGGAAUGUGGCUGCAGGGAUUUAUGCUCAAUCAGGCAUAAGUGAGGCAUUAGUGAGGUAUGACGUUUAUAUCAGGUGAGAAAGUGUUCAGUGGGGUUAAAGUCAAGGCUCUGUGUAGGCUAUUUGAGUUCUUCCAUCUUUAUGGACCUCACUUUGUGCACAUGGGGCAUUGUCAUACUGGAACAGGUUGGGGCCCCAAGUUCUGCGGAAGGGAAAUCUUAAUGUUAAAGUAUGCUGACAUUCUAGACAAUUGUGUGCUUCUAAGUUUCUUGGAACACACAUAAGGGUGUGUUGGUCAGGUGUCCACAUACUUUUAGCCAUAUAGUGUAUAUUUUACAGCUGUUUUAUUUAGGCAGGGCAGUAGUAACUAGUUCUAAACAUUACUUAGUGGACACCCUGGAUGGCACCAUGCAUACACACACAUUCACACACUCAUUCACACCUAGAGCUAUUAAGUAUAGCAAAGAGGGGGGGGGGACUCCAUUAAAUGCAAGUCAGCUUGUCCAUAAUAUACAGUAAAUAAAAUAUACUUUAAAAAUGAAAAACAUUUCUGAAGUUGAGGCAAUCAAAAUGUUUCCUUUCCUUACAACUAUAAGCAUAAGUUAUUAAAACACAUCUGAUUUUUCCUAAAGCAUUGCAGCACAUGAUCAUCAUUAAAUAGUAGCACAAGCACUACAUUGAACACUCUAUCUGCCAUUUAAGAAAUUGAAAUUGAAAUUUACAAUGCUUUUGGGAAAUUCAGCCCAUAUCAAUUAUUAUCUCCAAAAAUCCUCCCUGUUAUAGACGAGGAGCUCUGUGGUAGGUGGAAGACCUCCUUUCCUCUUUUUCAUCAUGAAUGGUGUUUACUAUGUUUUCCCCCUGAACCACAAGUGUCUAUACACUGACAUGCAAUGGAAAUUUCUUACCUCUGCACCCACCAAAAGCAUUAAUAAGUUCCUGGAAGAGUGGUGAAAGAUGUGUGAACAGAGGUUCCUCUUUCACAAGAUGACUGCUUUUGUGUUGCUUUUUUCCAUUAUGCUUAAAGGUACAACAAGUACAUUUGGGCUGACAGUGGUAUUAUUGCUGGUCAACAUUUCCUUGCUUGAAAUGAAGUAGUAGAUAGUAUUUAAAUGCAAUGCCUAAAACUCUUCUUUUAAAAUACCUGUUACACCAUUAAUGUUCUAAAACAGUAAAUGAGGAACCUCCUGAAUGACAAGUGAACUACAAAUAAUAUGACAUCAUCACAUCCUAUAUGUCAGCUAAACGUUUGAGCACUGCUUUCUUUACUAAUUGACCUAUUUAAAUAACUCUAAUAUGAACAUAGUUUGAGAAGAGGUUAUUGUCAUUAUUGUUAUUACCUAACAAUCUCUCCCUCUCUUUACCUCCCUCUCCCUCUCUCCUUCUGUCAAGCCACACAUGAUUUUAUGGAGAUGCCAGUGAUCUUGACUCUUUCUGCUCUCCGGACCUGCCUGAUCCAUCCUGAUGCCCUACCUCUUGAUGGACCUCUCAUCAAUUGGAGGCUACAGCCUGGUGAUUGCUGAGGAUGGUACCGCUUGAAGUACCAUGGAAAUGGUUUUGGACCUCAAUUCCACAUGGACAUUCUCGCUGUGGUUGCUGGGACUAUGGUUGCUGCUAUGGUUUUAGGACUGCAAUUACCACAUACAAUUUUGCACUCAAGUCUCUUUUAGUGAACAGUGGACUAGUUCAACAAAAAGACUUCAUAUAAAAACCACAAUAAACAUUCUUUUAAUUUCA